Molecule: ribosomal RNA, 468 nt
Filed under: uncultured bacterium
Lineage: Bacteria
Description: partial 16S ribosomal RNA
Rfam family: Bacterial small subunit ribosomal RNA
Source: RNAcentral
GACGAACGCUGGCGGCGUGCUUAACACAUGCAAGUCGAACGGACAGGCCCUGCUUUUGUGGGGUGCUCGAGUGGCGAACGGGUGAGUAACACGUGAGUAACCUGCCCUUGACUUUGGGAUAACUUCAGGAAACUGGGGCUAAUACCGGAUAGGAGCUCCUGCUGCAUGGUGGGGGUUGGAAAGUUUGGGCGGUUGGGGAUGGACUCGCGGCUUAUCCGCUUGUUGGUGGGGUAGUGGCUUACCAAGCCUUUGACGGGUAGCCGGCCUGGGAGGGUGGCCGGGCACAUUGGGACUGAGAUACGGCGCAGACUCGUACGGGAGGCAGCAGUGGGGAAUAUUGCACAAUGGGCGGAAGCCUGAUGCAGCAACGCCGCGUGCGGGAUGACGGCUUUCGGGUUGUAAACCGCUUUCGCCUGUGACGAAGCGUGAGUGACGGUAAUGGGUAAAGAAGCACCGGCUAACUACGUG